UGGGGAAUAUUGGACAAUGGGCGAAAGCCUGAUCCAGCCAUGCCGCGUGUGUGAAGAAGGUCUUCGGAUUGUAAAGCACUUUAAGUUGGGAGGAAGGGCAGUAAGCGAAUACCUUGCUGUUUUGACGUUACCGACAGAAUAAGCACCGGCUAACUCUGUGCCAGCAGCCGCGGCAAUACAGAGGGUGCAAGCGUUAAUCGGAAUUACUGGGCGUAAAGCGGGCGUAGGUGGUUCGUUAAGCUGAAUGUGAAAGCCCCGGGCUCAACCUGGGAACUGCAUCCAACACUGGCGAGCUAGAGUAGGGCAGAGGGUGGUGGAAUUUCCUGUGUAGCGGUGAAAUGCGUAGAUAUAGGAAGGAACACCAGUGGCGAAGGCGACCACCUGGGCUCAUACUUACACUGAGGUGCGAAAGCGUGGGGAGCAAACAGG
Molecule: ribosomal RNA, 429 nt
Filed under: Pseudomonadota bacterium
Lineage: Bacteria; Pseudomonadati; Pseudomonadota
Description: Proteobacteria bacterium partial 16S ribosomal RNA
Rfam family: Bacterial small subunit ribosomal RNA
Source: RNAcentral